UACCGGCAGUUCUAGUGGCAGCCAAUUUUAUUGGGUCUAAAACAUCCGUAGCUUGUUCGUUAAGUUCCCUGUGAAAUCCCACGUCUCAAGCGUGGGGCUUGCGGGGAAUACUGACGAGCUAGAGAUCGGUAGGCGUAAGAAGUACAUUGAAGGUAGUGGUUAAAUACGUUAAUCUUGAAUGGACUAACGAUGAGCGAAGGCAUCUUACGAGGACGAAUCUGACAGUGAGGGAUGAAGGCCAGGGGCGCAAAACGGAUUAGAUACCCUCGUA
This 271-nucleotide ribosomal RNA is filed under the name uncultured prokaryote. Its description in RNAcentral is "partial 16S ribosomal RNA". It matches the Rfam family "Archaeal small subunit ribosomal RNA", at positions 474 to 743 of the family's 1478-position model. The record is from RNAcentral.